AGAGUUUGAUCAUGGCUCAGAACGUACGCUGGCGGCACGCCUAAUACAUGCAAGUCGAACGAAGUAGCAAUACUUAGUGGCAGACGGGUGAGUAACAUGUAGGUAUCUACCCUUUGGCCUGGAAUAACACGAGGAAACUUGUGCUAAUACCGGAUAAGUCUUUACGGAGAAAGCUUUAUGCACCAUUGGAUGAGCCUGCACUUGAUUAGUUUGUUGGUGGGGUAAUGGCCUACCAAGACAAUGAUCAAUAGCUGAUUUGAGAGGAUGAUCAGCCACAUUGGGACUGAGACACGGCCCAAACUCCUACGGGAGGCAGCAGUAGGGAAUCUUGCACAAUGGAGGAAACUCUGAUGCAGCGAUGCCGCGUGAGUGAAGAAGGCCUUUGGGUUGUAAAGCUCUUUCGUCGGGGAAGAAAAUGACUGUACCCGAAUAAGAAGGUCCGGCUAACUUCGUGCCAGCAGCCGCGGUAAUACGAAGGGACCUAGCGUAGUUCGGAAUUACUGGGCUUAAAGAGUUCGUAGGUGGUUAAAAAAGUUGGUGGUGAAAUCCCAGAGCUUAACUCUGGAACUGCCAUCAAAACUUUUUAGCUAGAGUAUGAUAGAGGAAAGCAGAAUUUCUAGUGUAGAGGUGAAAUUCGUAGAUAUUAGAAAGAAUACCGAUUGCGAAGGCAGCUUUCUGGAUCAUUACUGA
RNAcentral lists this ribosomal RNA (690 nucleotides) under uncultured bacterium. Its description in RNAcentral is "bacterial SSU rRNA". It matches the Rfam family "Bacterial small subunit ribosomal RNA", at positions 8 to 743 of the family's 1533-position model. The record is from RNAcentral.